This is a long non-coding RNA of Brassica napus (rape), 223 nucleotides long. RefSeq lists it as uncharacterized. The record is from RefSeq and is a predicted model, not a curated record. Lineage: Eukaryota; Viridiplantae; Streptophyta; Magnoliopsida; Brassicales; Brassicaceae. The transcript is spliced from 2 exons.
ACCCCUAAUCUAGGAAUGGCGACACACUUUCAUAUAUGAAUUCCAAAACUAUUCCGCAACAGCAUGUGAUCUCCUCUACUGCUCUUGAACACUUCCAUCAAAAUCUGCAACAGAAGUAAGCAAGCCUGCAAGAUCAAAGCACAAGACCAGUUACCAACAAGCUCAAGCACGAAAAACAGAUCAAAUCAACAACUCAACUAUUUCAAACAAAGUUUCGUACUUU